AUCCAGCUGACGAGUCCCAAAUAGGACGAAACGUGCGUCGAAAUUGGAU
This is a non-coding RNA of Schistosoma mansoni, 49 nucleotides long. Lineage: Eukaryota; Metazoa; Platyhelminthes; Trematoda; Strigeidida; Schistosomatidae. The record is from Rfam.